This is a long non-coding RNA of Sorghum bicolor (sorghum), 1782 nucleotides long. RefSeq lists it as uncharacterized. The transcript is spliced from 9 exons. NCBI's taxonomy places the organism in Eukaryota, Viridiplantae, Streptophyta, Magnoliopsida, Poales, Poaceae. The record is from RefSeq and is a predicted model, not a curated record.
CGCGCCGAGCCCGUGUUCCCGCCACGCCCAGGGUACGGCGCCGCGUUGACGCCGUGCGUCGUCGGGACCUGAAGUCCCUGCACCAGUACAACCUUAAAUCUGAGAAGAACAAGGCCACUAGAGCACUGCAACUGAAUGGAAGGCACACCACUGGAUCGAGAAGCAAUGCAGUUGUUUUAGAUCAAAUGGAACUAAAGGAAGGAAGACAAAUAGGCCGUGCUGAGCUCUAUAUAGCAACACAUACCAGAAAAAAUGGACAACCAAUUGAUGAUUACAGCUUUGAAAAAAUUGAUGAAAUCUGAAGAAGAUUUCAAGAAGACCCUUCUUUGACUGCUGAGGAUACUCAUGACAAUGAUUUAUUCUCAACAUUGUUCCCAAAAGAGAGGAGUGGAAGGAGGACUGGCCUUGGCCUGUUAGCAGGUGGUGUGGGCUCUGCUCGCAUAUCUGAAGCUUUAUUUGAAAUGCAGGAAGUGAAGGAAGAAAAUAAAAAGCUUUGGGAUGUGGUCAAAACACUAAUGUCAAAUCAAUCUAAGUUACAGCAGCAAUACAGUGAACUGAAAACUCAAGUUUCAGGCUCCCAAAAGUGCUCUCUGUUGAAACUAGUUCAAGGGUUGGUACAGUAGAUGGGCAACAUUUUGCAUGAGAAGAAAGAUGAUAAUCAAGAAUCAAUUUCACAUUCAAAUAAGAGACAUGGAGUAGAACUUGAGGAAAUUGAAAAUGUUAGGAUGCAAAGUCUGCAAAAAAUAAAGAAAGAGACAUCACAACACACAUUUCUGGGAAAUACCAAGGACAAGACACCUCCACAAAGUCUUCCAGAGCUAUCGAAGAAACCAAGAAAGUUUCAGGCACCACUUACUAAGGAUGAUAUGAAAGAUAUAAAGUGUGGUAUGGAGAUUGGUCUCAUAUCUCCAAAUAGUAAAAAGUUGGUGGCACUAGGGACUGUUCAGAAAACUGAUAGGAAAGCUAAAGCUAAUGAUGGUCAACCAUUGGCGGAUUAUAUUGAGGUACUAGUCAGUAUUGUUUAUAAACAAACAACCAUAUUGCCUCGUUCACAUGGGAAGAUACAGAAUCUGGGAAGUGCUACUGCUCGCUGCAUGCCAUGGCCUCGGCAAAAUAUCAUUUGUAGAGAUGGCACUCCAUUGCACUCUAAACAGGUUUGUAGCCCCAUUAGCAAAAUCACCCCAAACACAAGAUGAACUGUAGGACCAAAAAGGUCAACAUCAAAAGCUGAUGCUACAAGGUUGGACAAAGGCCAAGUUGCUUCACAAGGUUUGCUAGAAAAGAAGCAAGCAAAGAGGAAUGUGAGUAAAGAAGAAACAGAGCAACUUACAUCAUCCAAGUAUGUAGAGGGCCACAAAAGCAACAUACAUAUAACAACGUCUCGAUGUUAGUACAAUUAAAAGAGCAAUUGACAAGUGAGGACAACAGACAUGUAUAUAGCUGGAUGUGGGCAUGCCAUUUUCAAGCAAGAGUAACAUAAUUUGGUUCCUAAACAUUGAUGUCCAGUACUGUGGCAACAUAGUAUAUUUAGAUGGAUUUAUACUUACAUAUGUAUAUAUAUAGCUGUGAUGUGGACACUCUUAUAAAAGGAGAAAGAAACUUGCAUCAGGAAUGGGGACCUAGACAUCAGGACUUGGAACAUCAUUUGAAUUGACUAUUUUUCAACCUUAUUGAUUGUGUUUGGUUACAAAUAUAACUGUGUAUAGCCUGAAAGGUUAAAUGUUUGGAUCAUGUUGUUAACGUGUAUUUUCAUUGGUUAAUUUCUCAAUGGAUGUUGCUGUU